This 505-nucleotide ribosomal RNA is filed under the name uncultured bacterium. RNAcentral's name for it is "bacterial SSU rRNA". It matches the Rfam family "Bacterial small subunit ribosomal RNA", at positions 19 to 518 of the family's 1533-position model. The record is from RNAcentral.
CUGGCUCAGGAUGAACGCUAGCGACAGGCUUAACACAUGCAAGUCGAGGGGCAGCAUAAAAGUAGCAAUACUUGGUGGCGACCGGCGCACGGGUGAGUAACGCGUAUGCAACCUACCUAUCAGAGGGGAAUAACCCGGCGAAAGUCGGACUAAUACCGCAUAAAACAGGGGCACCGCAUGGUGAUAUUUGUUAAAGAAAUUCGCUGAUAGAUGGGCAUGCGUUCCAUUAGGUAGUUGGUGAGGUAACGGCUCACCAAGCCGACGAUGGAUAGGGAACUGAGAGGUUGGUCCCCCACACUGGUACUGAGACACGGACCAGACUCCUACGGGAGGCAGCAGUGAGGAAUAUUGGUCAAUGGGCGGGAGCCUGAACCAGCCAAGUCGCGUGAAGGAAGAAGGAUCUAUGGUUCGUAAACUUCUUUUGCAGGGGAAUAAAGUGCAAGACGUGUCCUGUUUUGUAUGUACCCUGAGAAUAAGGAUCGGCUAACUCCGUGCCAGCAGCGGC